RNAcentral lists this ribosomal RNA (497 nucleotides) under uncultured bacterium. RNAcentral's name for it is "partial 16S ribosomal RNA". It matches the Rfam family "Bacterial small subunit ribosomal RNA", at positions 28 to 507 of the family's 1533-position model. The record is from RNAcentral.
GAUGAACGCUGGCGGCGUGCCUAAUACAUGCAAGUCGAGCGAACGGACGAGAAGCUUGCUUCUCUGAUGUUAGCGGCGGACGGGUGAGUAACACGUGGAUAACCUACCUAUAAGACUGGGAUAACUUCGGGAAACCGGAGCUAAUACCGGAUAAUAUUUUGAACCGCAUGGUUCAAAAGUGAAAGACGGUCUUGCUGUCACUUAUAUAUGGAUCCGCGCUGCAUUAGCUAGUUGGUAAGGUAACGGCUUACCAAGGCAACGAUGCAUAGCCGACCUGAGAGGCUGAUCGGCCGCACGAGAACGGAGACAGGGUCCAGACUCCUGCGAGACGCAGCAGACGGCAACCUGACGCAAUGGGCGAAAGCCUGACGGAGCAAGCCCGAGUGAGUUAUGAAGGUCUUCGGAGCGUAAAACUCUGUUACUAGUGAAGAACAUAUGUGUAAGUAACUGUGCACAUCGUGACGGUACCUAAUCAGAAAGCCACGGCUAACUACGUG